Molecule: unclassified non-coding RNA, 257 nt
Filed under: uncultured fungus
Lineage: Eukaryota; Fungi
Description: partial contains 5.8S ribosomal RNA, internal transcribed spacer 2, and large subunit ribosomal RNA
Source: RNAcentral
AACGCACAUUGCGCCCGCCAGCAUUCUGGCGGGCAUGCCUGUCCGAGCGUCAUUUCGACCCUCAGGUCCCCCGGGGGACCUGGUGUUGGGGGCCGGCCGCCCGCGCCGCCCCCGAAAUGCAGUGGCGACCUCGCCGCAGCCUCCCCUGCGCAGUAGCACAAACCUCGCACCGGAGCGCGGAGACGGUCACGCCGUAAAACGCCCCAACUUUCUCAAGAGUUGACCUCGGAUCAGGUAGGAAUACCCGCUGAACUUAA